Molecule: small RNA, 377 nt
Filed under: Arabidopsis thaliana (thale cress)
Lineage: Eukaryota; Viridiplantae; Streptophyta; Magnoliopsida; Brassicales; Brassicaceae
Description: ATSL024280
Source: RNAcentral
AAGAUAAUAUAAUUGUAUUUUGAUUUUUAUAUUUAGGAUUUCACCUAUGGUAUACCGUCUCGUAUUACUAUCGACCCAAACCCAUCAUAUCAUCUAAUCCCGUUCAGUGAAAUUAAACAUAUCUAAUGGAUUUCACCCGUGGUAUAGCGUCUAGUAUUUUAUCGAUCGAAAUCCGUCUUACCAUCUAACUCCGUUCAAUGAAAUUAAACAUUAUUUUGUUAUUUUUGUUUUAAAAAUACUUUAAUUGAAAAGAUAUAUAAUUUAAAUCAAUUUAAAGUUUUUAUUUCAAAUGGUUAUUUAAUUGUUUAAAAGUUCAUAUAUUAUAAAUAUUAUAAACCCGUCCUACCAUCUAAUCCCGUUCGGUGAAAUUAAAAAUU